UUUAUUUUAUUUUAUUUUUUUUUAACUUGAAGUUUGGGUAUUGACUCUAGGGUUUUUGUUUCCUUGAGAGGGCUUUUUCUCUGAUUUUGCCAUUUGAAUUGAUUGGUUAGUGAUGAUUUGAUUGGAUGCGAUUGGAAUUUUAUGGUUUUAUUUUCUUCGAUGGAAUACUAAUUUUGAAGUGAAUCCUUACUGUUACAAUGAAAGAUCCAUUGCUUUUAGUUUUAUGUGGUAUAGCAAUUGUUUGUUCUCUUUAAUUUAGCUGAAAUUUAUCUAUGAAACUUGUUAUACUAAUGGAAAAUUCGUUAUCUGCACUUACAUAAAAAGGUUCUAUACCUCAAGCCAUUCUCGAAUCCAAGAAGCAAAAGAAGCUUUUUGUUGUCUACAUUUCUGGUUCGGAUCAAAACUCAGUUGAAUUGGAAAAAUCCACAUGGACUGAUUCAAAAGUACAGAUAUAUAUUUUCUGUUUUUCUAAUCUGAACUCAUUUUUUCUGAAUGCCCAUAUAUAUGUGUGCCCUUAAUGCCUAGUUAUUAUUUUGUGUACUGCAAUCAGGUGGCAGAGUCACUGUCAAAGUAUUGCAUUUUCUUGCAUAUCCCAGAAGCAAGCACUGACGUCUCAAAUUUUUCUGCAAUAUGUAUCCUCUGUUGAAUUGUUCAUACUUUUUCAAAGCCUAGUCAUUCUUAAUUUGAUCAUAAUAUGUUAUAUGGUGAUCUAAGAUUGAGCUGUGGCAAUAAUAGGUAACUUGCCCGAUUGUCUUGAUACUACAUUGUGUUGUACUUCUUUGUGCUAUUCCUAAUAUUGUGUGAAGUAUGCUCAAGUUAAAUGAGUAAUUUGACUUAGUAAUUAUGGACAAGACAUCACUAAUGGAAGAGAGGAUAUAGGCUAGGGCAACAGAGGUAUGAGAUUUGAGAAAACUCUUUAAAAUGCCUUUUAAAGCACCAAGUUCAAAUUCAUUUUAUCCUUGUUACCAUUUUCAGAGGUAAUUAGGGUGUAAAUGAACCUAGCCAAGCCGAAUUUUAAGAGCUCAGGAUUGGUUUGUCAAAAUUUUUUCGAACUCGAGCCGAACUCAUGCUGAGGUCAAGCCACAUAUCAAUAAACUCAAAUUUAGUUUGUUUAGAAAACGAGCCGAGCUAAGAUGAGCUUUUAUCGAAUCAAGUUUCGACCAGCUUGCAAGUAGCUCAACUUAUUUACAGCCCUAAUGAGUUAUAGGUUUAGGAUUAUGAAGUUCCGAGUACGUAAUUUAGAUUAGAUGACAUUAAAUUUAAAUUACAAAUAACUAUAUUUUAUAUAACUUAAUUACAUCAUAAUUUUGAAUAAUAGUUAUUAAUACAUUAUUUUAUAGAAUAAUCAUAAACAAAAUCAAUAUAUUUGUAACAUAAUGAAAUGUAAUAAUUAAUAUAAAUGAAUUACGAGCUUGUUUAAUAAUUCAGCUUGCGAUCGUAUAUAAUGAGUUAACUCGUGAGCCUUAAUGAGCCGAGUGUUGGUGAGCUUGAAUUGAGUUCAUUUAUUUAAUUGGGCCUAAAAAUUAAACUUGUCGAGUCGAGUUUUUAUCAAGCUAAGCUCAUGAGCGGCUCAGCUCAUUUACAAUCGUAGUGUUAUCCCUUUUUGUCUUCUUAGAAGGAUGUGUAUUUGAUAUCUUUCCUUUGAUUUUCCAGAUCUUUUUUUUUAGAUGAUUUUUUUU
This 1679-nucleotide unclassified non-coding RNA is filed under the name Hevea brasiliensis (rubber tree). Lineage: Eukaryota; Viridiplantae; Streptophyta; Magnoliopsida; Malpighiales; Euphorbiaceae. The record is from RNAcentral.